Molecule: long non-coding RNA, 461 nt
Organism: Myotis brandtii (Brandt's bat)
Lineage: Eukaryota; Metazoa; Chordata; Mammalia; Chiroptera; Vespertilionidae
Exons: 3
Source: RefSeq, a predicted model, not a curated record
AGAGUCAGCCACCAACUCGGAGCCUUCAUAGAAUCGCACCCUGUGGACAACACAGCCCGAGCAGACCCAUGAGGCUCAAACCAAGGCUGCCAUAUCAGGAGACUGUAAUCCAUGCCGCUUCGUAAACACACUGCAUAAGCUGGAGGAACGAGAAACAGGAGGGAGAGGCAGCUCUCAGCCCUCCUGUAUAAAGUUGGCCCCAUCGAGGAAACAGCUUCCAACAGUGUGCCUGAGAUGUACCCCCAAAUCUUCUCCACCUCUUGGAUCCUACUAGGACUGAUGGUCUCACUGCUAGAGCCACCCAGAAGUUAGAAGGUAGCUUGUACAUAGGAAUGAAGGCAAGGACCCAGGUGGACUCUACUAUUCUCUGACUUGAACACUAGCAAGAAUGCAACCAUUGCCACAUGGGAGACGAUGGAAUUUAAGAGGGCGAGGGCACAGGAUUGAGAUGAGUGACUUCA